Micropterus salmoides (largemouth bass) is the source of this 501-nucleotide long non-coding RNA. RefSeq lists it as uncharacterized. The transcript is spliced from 3 exons. The record is from RefSeq and is a predicted model, not a curated record. NCBI's taxonomy places the organism in Eukaryota, Metazoa, Chordata, Actinopteri, Centrarchiformes, Centrarchidae.
AACCGUGUACGCCGCUGAAUCAGACUGAGCCUAUACCGAACAACAGACCUCGGAAAAGGGAACACUGUAGAAGGCUCAUUUCAACCAGCAGCAGCAGGAGCAGUAGUAGGAGCAGCACAAACAGACCCCGACGAUCCGUGAGAGGCUGUCAGAAUUGCUGUCGGACUGCCCAUGAACAACUAGUUCUAAUGAGUAAUGCUUUCCGACUAAUGGGUGAAAUGCUGGCUGUCUACAGUGAUCAUAAUUAGUAAGAACCACUACUAUGGUAUAAAAAAUCUAAAGGCCUUUCUGGGUUCCCCAUAUCUGUGUGAGUACUGUUACACAGGGUACAACGGUGUGCUGAGUCACCGAUGCCCUGCUCAUUGUUCCGUUUGCUUUGACCCUACCUGUAAUCAGAAGGGGUUCCAGCCUAUUGUGUGUAAAGAGUGUAACAGGACAUGUCGUUCAGAAUUCUGUCUGACAAAGCACAAAGAGCCUACAGAGAGGCCCAGAGCCAAAAAA